RNAcentral lists this long non-coding RNA (264 nucleotides) under Ananas comosus (pineapple). Its description in RNAcentral is "long non-coding RNA (ACOM_LNC015501)". Lineage: Eukaryota; Viridiplantae; Streptophyta; Magnoliopsida; Poales; Bromeliaceae. The record is from RNAcentral.
CAGAAUAGUUUUCUCAAGAAUUAAUUUUAAUUUUUCCUUUAUUAAUCUCAUCCACUCCAUUUAAUCGUUUUUAUCGCUGGGUGUUGAAAGAGUCUCCGUCAACCUCCCUCACGAUCGUGCUCACAGUAGGAGGAAUUCCGGUUGUACCUUGGGGCGGUGUUUCCGGUUAAUCCCGCACGUAAGGACGGGACCAAGCUUAAGUAUUUUGAACCCGUGACUUUGGGCUCAACAAGUUAUUAGGAUUAGCACGCCACAAAUAAGGGA